AACGAACGCUGGCGGCGUGGUUUAGGCAUGCAAGUCGAGCGAGAAAGUCCUUCGGACGAGUACAGCGGCGAAAGGGUGAGUAAUAUAUAGGUAACCUACCUCUUGGACUCGGAUAAUUCCUGGAAACGGGUUAGUAAUACGAGAUCGUCCUAUUGGGUCGCAUGGCCCGACUGGUAAAUGGUAGCUCUGCUUCUGCCGAGAGAGGGGCCUAUAUCCUAUUAGCUAGUUGGUGAGGUAAUGGCUCACCAAGGCUUUGAUGGGUAGCCGGACUGAGAGGUUGGCCGGUCACACUGGGACUGAGACACUGCCCAGACUCCUACGGGAGGCUGCAGUCGAGAAUCUUCCGCAAUGGGCGAAAAGCCUGACGGGGCGACGCCGCGUGAACGAAGAAGGCCUCGGUGUAAG
RNAcentral lists this ribosomal RNA (405 nucleotides) under uncultured bacterium. Its description in RNAcentral is "bacterial SSU rRNA". It matches the Rfam family "Bacterial small subunit ribosomal RNA", at positions 29 to 429 of the family's 1533-position model. The record is from RNAcentral.